RNAcentral lists this ribosomal RNA (253 nucleotides) under uncultured bacterium. RNAcentral's name for it is "partial 16S ribosomal RNA". It matches the Rfam family "Bacterial small subunit ribosomal RNA", at positions 524 to 776 of the family's 1533-position model. The record is from RNAcentral.
UACGGAGGGUGCAAGCGUUAAUCGGAAUUACUGGGCGUAAAGCGCGCGCAGGCGGCUUGGUAAGUCGGAUGUGAAAUCCCGAGGCUCAACCUCGGGUCUGCAUCCGAUACUGCCCGGCUAGAGGUAGGUAGGGGAGAUCGGAAUUCCUGGUGUAGCGGUGAAAUGCGCAGAUAUCAGGAGGAACACCGGUGGCGAAGGCGGAUCUCUGGGCCUUACCUGACGCUCAGGCGCGAAAGCUAGGGGAGCGAACUGG